CCUACGGGAGGCAGCAGUGAGGAAUAUUGGUCAAUGGACGAGAGUCUGAACCAGCCAAGUAGCGUGAAGGAUGACUGCCCUAUGGGUUGUAAACUUCUUUUAUAAAGGAAUAAAACGAGGCACGUGUGCCUUUUUGCAUGUACUUUAUGAAUAAGGAUCGGCUAACUCCGUGCCAGCAGCCGCGGUAAUACGGAGGAUCCGAGCGUUAUCCGGAUUUAUUGGGUUUAAAGGGAGCGUAGAUGGGUUGUUAAGUCAGUUGUGAAAGUUUGCGGCUCAACCGUAAAAUUGCAAUUGAUACUGGCAGUCGUGAGUACAGUUGAGGUAGGCGGAAUUCGUGGUGUAGCGGUGAAAUGCUUAGAUAGCACGAAGAACCCCGAGUGCGAAGGCAGCUUACUAAACUGUGACUGACAUUGAUGCUCGAAAGUGUGGGUAUCAAACAGGAUUAGAUACCCUUGUAGUC
Molecule: ribosomal RNA, 460 nt
Filed under: uncultured bacterium
Lineage: Bacteria
Description: partial 16S ribosomal RNA
Rfam family: Bacterial small subunit ribosomal RNA
Source: RNAcentral